Molecule: long non-coding RNA, 639 nt
Organism: Mus musculus (house mouse)
Lineage: Eukaryota; Metazoa; Chordata; Mammalia; Rodentia; Muridae
Product: predicted gene, 51493
Exons: 3
Source: RefSeq, a predicted model, not a curated record
GAGUCCAGAGGAUGCCUGUGUGUGGUGCAUCCAGCACGGGGUCCCAGCUGAGAGCAGUGAGGUACCCAGAGACAAGAACUGUGGCAGUCCCUGCUAAAAAUGACCUGGAGGGGCCUGGUUUUCAUGCGGAACCAAAAUGUAGCCUCAGCAGAAGCUGUGCUGUUUAGCUGGCUCAAGAGGACUGUCAGUCCCUGGAGGACUUGGACCCAGGAGCCGCCCGCAGCUCCGACUCUUCCCAGCCAGCGGAGCCCCGGCCAUGGCCGAUCAACAGUGUGAAGACAUGGGCAACAGGCAGUGCACCUGGGAAAGGCAAGUGAGAUCAGGGGCGAGCACAAAACCUAAAGACAUCAAGAGGACCGCAGAGAUGGCUCAGCGUAAAUGCGCCUGCCGCCAAGCCUGACCAUCUGAGUUCAAUCCCCAGAUUCUACAUGAUGGAAGGAGAGCACUGACCCACAUGUGAGCUAUCAUGGGUGUCCUCACCUGGACAAAUACAUGAAUGUAAAAGAAGGUAAAGACAGUAAGAAACGCGCCUCUGGAGCAGAUCGGAGGAUCUUGUGCUUGCCCGACUCACCAGCAAGAACGAUGCUGCAACAGGAUCCUUCUGCACACGUUUAUUGGGAAAGCUUGAUUGCAGAGGCG